UUUGAAUUCGUCGUCCUAAUUAUAUGCAUAACUAAUCAAUGUCAACACUUUAAAUUUUAAAACUAAAAUUGAAACUUAUAUCCCAAAUUCUCUAUAUACACUUAAAGAUCUAGCAUUUCCAAUUUCCCAUACACUCCCUCAUAAUGGUAAUUUUGAUUCGGUUCUCUCAUGUUUUCUCUCCUAUAACCCUAGACUAAACCUUGGAAUAAAAAACGAUGGAAUGGAGAGGUACACAAGCAGAGGAACAAAUGGAGAUGCUUCAUUUUCUAAACACCAUUGCUUCUCUCUCCACCAUGUCGAUUUCAUGAAUAUUGAUCUAGAUCCCUAUACCAUCUGCAUCGAUUCACCGCCAAGCACCUUAUUUAUGAAUUUCCAGGCAAGAAUCUCGAACCUCUCUAUUCUCUUAUAUUAUGCUCUAAAGUUUUGUAUGUUUGUCACUCAAAAUCUCAGGAAACCCUAGCCUCACCACAAUCAAACAUGUUCCUGUGAAGUCCAUGGGAUGUUUUGGUGAUGUCGGUAACUGGAUCGUAAGAAAUAAAUUUCAAUUUUAGAUAAAUGCACUUUCUACAUCUUUUACUUAUGAAUCUUUUAUGGUCCAUAUUAGACCUGGAAUUUUGAAGCCUACAACAAUAAAAGGGGAAAGUUGAUCUUCUAAAUGUCUUUGAUGGUAAAUAGGAAAAGAUACUUGAAAGAAUGAAGUGUUUCAAAAGCUGGUAGUUUGCUACCAAUUGGUGACAAGGAGGAAAUCAAGUAUCCAUCAUCUGGACUCACUUUGGUGCUAUAUAAAGGGAAAAACUAAAGGAUUUUGUAAAGACAUGGAUCACGUGGUUAGAAAAAAUGAAGUAAAACUAAAGGUUUCAGUUACAAAUUAAUAUUGUUAUAGAGUCGAUUGGUUUGUAUUUUUAGUUUUUUAUUCUGAGCCUCUUAAUCCAUCAAUUUCCCCUUUGUUUUACUACAAUUUUACCCUUCGUGAAGCUACAAUUUCAAUUAGAUCUUUAACAAUUAUCACUUUUAGCAAAGGGUUCAAGUGAAGUAAAGCAUCGCGAAUUUCUUUUAUUAUAAGAAGCACUUCUGGCCAUUGUAACAAAAUCAUCUCUAUUAUAUUUAUUACUAUUUUUUGAUUUGUUGUAAUUGUAAUAAUACAAGGAGGCAUGAGAUGUUUUUUAAUCCGUGCUGUUUAUCAAUGUUUUACGUAUCUUUUUUGUAA
Non-coding RNA from Lactuca sativa (garden lettuce), 1207 nucleotides. The record is from RefSeq and is a predicted model, not a curated record. Lineage: Eukaryota; Viridiplantae; Streptophyta; Magnoliopsida; Asterales; Asteraceae.